ACGUAGGCAGCAAGCGUUGUUCGGAGUUACUGGGCGUAAAGAGUACGUAGGCGGUUUGCUAAGUCUGGUGUGAAAUCUCCUGGCUUAACUGGGAGGGUGCGCUAGAUACUGGCAGGCUUGAGUAUGGGAGAGGAGAGUGGAAUUCCUGGUGUAGCGGUGAAAUGCGUAGAUAUCAGGAGGAACGCCGGUGGUGUAGACGGCUCUCUGGACCAUAACUGACGCUGAGGUACGAAAGCGUGGGUAGCAAACAGGA
RNAcentral lists this ribosomal RNA (253 nucleotides) under uncultured prokaryote. RNAcentral's name for it is "partial 16S ribosomal RNA". It matches the Rfam family "Bacterial small subunit ribosomal RNA", at positions 525 to 777 of the family's 1533-position model. The record is from RNAcentral.